Molecule: long non-coding RNA, 303 nt
Organism: Gracilinanus agilis (Agile Gracile Mouse Opossum)
Lineage: Eukaryota; Metazoa; Chordata; Mammalia; Didelphimorphia; Didelphidae
Exons: 3
Source: RefSeq, a predicted model, not a curated record
GUUUUGGGCCUUACAUUAUACUCAGAUCCCAGAGAGAGAAAACAACUGAAAAAAAAACAUCUAAAAGCAUGUCUCGAUACAAGUCCCAGCCAUUUGCAUCUCUUUCUGCUAAAAACCUGCUACCUGCUUCCCGAAUGUUCCAAAUCUGCAAAAUGGAAAGAUCAGAACCACCAUCCAAUUCACAACCUGAACAGAAAUGUUCUGUUGGCAGAGAUGUAGUUCAAGGUUUUCAUCAUGGAAUCAUUGUCUGUAAUUCAGGAUGGUUUCAGAAAAACCUGGAAAAUCUUAUACAAACUGAUGCAG